CCCUUAGAUGUUCUGGGCUGCACGCGCGCUACACUGAUGCAUCCAGCGAGUUGUAACCUUGCUUGGUAAAGUUUGGUAAUCUGAGCCUAAUGUGCAUCGUGAUGGGAAUAGAGUUUUGCAACUAUUAGUCUUGAACGAGGAAUUCCUCGUAAGCACGAGUCAUCAGCUUGUGCUGAUUACGUCCCUGCCCUUUGUACACACCGCCCGUCGCUCCUACCGAUUGAAUGGUCCGGUGAAGCGUUCGGACCGUGGCCUUUGGACGGUUCGCCGUCUGUUGGCUGCGGGAAGUUCGUUAAACCUUAUCAUUUAGAGGAAGGAGAAGUCGUAACA
RNAcentral lists this ribosomal RNA (330 nucleotides) under uncultured eukaryote. RNAcentral describes it as "partial 18S ribosomal RNA". It matches the Rfam family "Eukaryotic small subunit ribosomal RNA", at positions 1470 to 1796 of the family's 1831-position model. The record is from RNAcentral.